UCCGGUUUAACACCGGCAGUCCCACUAGAGUCCCCGGCAUAACCCGCUGGCAACAUCGAACGAGGGUUGCGCUCGUUGCGGGACUUAACCCAACAUCUCACGACACGAGCUGACGACAGCCAUGCACCACCUGCACACAGGCCACAAGGGAAUACCUAUCUCUAGGCACGUCCUGUGCAUGUCAAACCCAGGUAAGGUUCUUCGCGUUGCAUCGAAUUAAUCCACAUGCUCCGCCGCUUGUGCGGGCCCCCGUCAAUUUCUUUGAGUUUUAGCCUUGCGGCCGUACUCCCCAGGCGGGGCACUUAAUGCGUUAGCUACGGCACGGACGGAGUCGACACCGCCCACACCUAGCAUCCAUCGUUUACGGCGUGGACUAC
Molecule: unclassified non-coding RNA, 377 nt
Filed under: uncultured Actinomycetes bacterium
Lineage: Bacteria; Bacillati; Actinomycetota; Actinomycetes
Description: uncultured actinobacterium contains 16S-23S intergenic spacer region
Source: RNAcentral